GUCACAUUAAGUUCUGAGAGGGAAUGUGUCCUAUUAGCGGAGAGCCAGGUUAACCCUUUCUAUGGCGGAGAUCAGUCAGCACUCCUUCCUAUCCCAUGUUGCACACGGGAGCAAGACAGAAUGACACACCACGCCCACUAGCUCUCACACCACACUCCCUAGCACACCACCCCAUUUAGCGCUUUCACACACCACACCCGCUAGCACACCACGCCUCCUAGCGCUCUCAAACACCACACCCCCUAGCACACCACGCCUCCUAGCGCUCUCACACACCACACCCCCUAGCACACCACGCCUCCUAGCGCUCACACACCACACCCCCUAGCACACCACGCCCCCUAGAGGGACCUGAUGUGCGCGUCCCAGGUCCCGUGGAUUGAGUAGGAGUUGAUGGGAUUGAGUGGGAGUUUGUCAGGAUUACAAGUUGAUCAAGCACGCAGUAAUGUGUCACACUAAAGAUAACGUAUAACCAGACCUUAGAAUGGCCAGACUUAACGUCUCCAAGAAUAGUCAAAAUACUUGCCGAGGUCAGGGACACAAAAUCAGACGCAAAGAUGAGGGAAAGCUAAAAGUCAAGGAUAGAAGAUAUCAGGGAAAUGAAAUACCAGAAGAUCAAGAUCAGGAACACACUCUCGGAUAACCAUGGGUAUGAAACCACAACAGGGCACUGAGCAAGAGGAGAGUUGGGUUUAAAUACCCCCCACGUGGAUCCGAUUGGCUGUAACUGGCCUUUGACCCAAAAAGCAAUUACCAGGUUUGCAUGUUCAUGAUUGCUAUUCGGCACAACUUUUCCUCUCAGGACAGUAAAUGCCAUUAACCUAAUUUUUAUGUGCGGAUUAAUACGUGACAGAAUUAAAGGGAAUGAGUGCGAGUUGAUGGGAUUGAAUAGGAGUUAGUGGGAGUUAAUGGGAUUGAGUGGGAGUUAGUGAGAGUUAAUGGACUGGGUGGGAGUUAGUGGCUUGAGUGGGAGUUAGUUAAUGGAUUGAGUGGGAGUUAGUUAAUGGAUUGAGUGGAAGUUAAUGGAUUGAGUGGGAGUUAGUUAAUGGAUUGGGUGGGAGUUAGUUAAUGAAUUGAGUGGGAGUUAGUUAAUGGACUGAGUGGAAGUUAAUGGAUUGAGUGGGAGUUAGUUAAUGGAUUGAGUGGGAGUUAGCUAAUGGAUUGAGUGGGAGUUAGUUAAUGGAUUGAGUGGGAGUUAGCUAAUUGAGUGGGAGUUAGUUAGUGGGAUUGAGUGGGAGUUAGUUAAUGGAUUGAGUGGGAGUUAAUGGAUUGUGUGGGAGUUAGUUAAUGGAUUGUGUGGGAGUUAGUUAGUGGAUUGGGUGGGAGUUAGUUAAUGGAUUGUGUGGGAGUUAGUUAAUGGAUUGAGUGGGAGUUAGUUAAUGGAUUGAGUGGAAGUUAAUGGAUUGAGUGGGAGUUAGUUAAUGGAUUGGGUGGAAGUUAAUGAAUUGAGUGGGAGUUAGUUAAUGGACUGAGUGGAAGUUAAUGGAUUGAGUGGGAGUUAGUUAAUGGAUUGAGUGGGAGUUAGCUAAUGGAUUGAGUGGGAGUUAGUUAAUGGAUUGAGUGGGAGUUAGCUAAUGGAUUGAGUGGGAGUUAGUUAAUGGAUUGAGUGGGAGUUAGCUAAUGGAUUGAGUGGGAGUUAGUUAAUGGAUUGAGUGGGAGUUAGCUAAUAGAUUGAGUGGGAGUUAGUUAAUGGAUUGAGUGGGAGUUAGUUAAUGGAUUGAGUGGGAGUUAGUUAGUGGGAUUGAGUGGGAGUUAGUUAAUGGAUUGAGUGGAAGUUAAUGGAUUGUGUGGGAGUUAGUUAAUGGAUUGUGUGGGAGUUAGUUAGUGGAUUGGGUG
Molecule: long non-coding RNA, 1836 nt
Filed under: Pelobates cultripes (western spadefoot toad)
Lineage: Eukaryota; Metazoa; Chordata; Amphibia; Anura; Pelobatidae
Source: RNAcentral